CACCCAGGUGCCCUGGCAUUGUAAAUUUUAACACCGACACAUAAAAACAAGUGAUUUCAUGUUUUAAAAAGUGUGUAUGGAUUGUUUUUGUAUGAGGGGAUUUAAUUUUGUAACUUGAGAUAUUUUACAUUUCCUAAAAUUCACCCACAUGAAGUGUAUAUAUAUAGUUCAGUGGUCUUUAAUACAUCCAUGGAGUUGUAUCCCUAUCCCCACAGUCUUGUUGGAGAACGUAUUGACGCCCUGGAAGGACUCCUGUUCCGACCCCGUCCAUCCCUGUUCCUCUUUUCCCAGCCCCAGUCGAUCACUAGUGUACUUUCUGUCCAGGAAUUUGACUCUUCUGGACACAUCACAUCGAAGGCCUAAACUUUAGGAUUCCAUUUUUGUCUGGCCUUUUUUUUUUUUUUUUUUUUUUUACUUAUGUGUUUGUAAGAUCCAUGUAUCAACACUUCAUUCUCUUUUAGGAACAAUACGUGAUUGGCUGCGCUGCAUUUUAUCAGUUGCCAGACAUUUGGGUUAUUUUGUCUUUUGGCUCAACUGCCGAGAUCCUACUGCCAUGAACUAUUUUGCGUGGGUGCAAACUUUCAUUUCUCUUGGUUACACACCUCAGAAAUGGAAUCGCUGGGUUCUGUGGCAGUUUUAUGUUUCGCGUUUUGAAGAGCCUCCGGAAGGUUUCGCCAGACAGCUCUACCUUUUUACAUUCCUGUCAGCAGUGUGGGGAGCUCCAGUUUCUUCACAUACUCCCCAAUGUUUGUUACCAUCUUUCUGACUUUAGCUGUCACAGUUGUGUGAAACGGGUUCUCCUUACGUGAAGUGGAGGCAAAUGAUGAAGCUGGGAAGGGGGACCAGGAGGACCUGUUUUUCUGCAAAACAGGGUUGCAGGGGCGCCUGGUGGCUUAGUCGGUUGAGUGUCCAACCCUUGAUUUCAGCUCAGCUCAUGAUCUCACGGGUUGUGAGUUCAAGUCCCAUAUCGGGCUCUGUGGUGACGGUGCGGAGCCUGCUUGGGAUUCUCUCUGUCUCAAAAACCUUAAAAAAAGUGGGGGGGUUGCAUGUUGGGUUCACAAUUCUAGGGGACCACAGAGGGCAUACUUAGUGAACUAUUUUUUUUCCCCAGAUGCUGUAUUUUAGAGCUAUAAAUGGCACGAGAAGGUACUCAGAGUAUACAGUUGGAUAAAAUUUGACCUGUAGGACUGUAAUCAAAAUAAUGACGUUUCCCUCACCACACCUGCCCCUUGGGAACCCCUCACCUCAUCCCUUCCUUCUCUUGUUUCUCCUCCCUAUGAUGUCACUACACAUUAGUUUGAGUUUUCUGGAAUUUUAUAAAGGAUUAUUAUACACGUGCACAUAAAGUUUUGUGACUUUGUAAGUAGAGUUACAUAGCUGGAUAGCUUCUGGCAGACCUGUGUUGAGAUUCGUCCACAGUAUGUACAUCAGUAGGUCGUUCCUUUUUUGCUGGGUGGUCCUCACUGGGUAGACAACUUCUCGUUUGUCUGUUGAUGUCCACUGGGGAUUUCACCCCAGUUUUAGUUCUUAGAAACGAAGCUGCUGUGGACAUUUUUGAAGAAGUCUUUCUCCAGACCCGUGUUUUUACUUCACUAUGAGUGGAUCAUACGGUCAGGGGACGUUUGGCAUUUUCACAGAUCCCCGAACUGUCUCCCACGGUGGCUGCACUAUUUGCUUUCCUACCAGUAGUGAGAUUCACAGCCCCUCCACACUCUGGAUUUGGAGUCCUUCUCCCUCUGCUGCGAGGACCCAGCGAUUCUUGUAAGUGCAAGUCUGCUGGUCUGAAAGUAUUUUAAUGUUAGAAAGAUUUCCUUUUUUGCUGUGCAUAAAUUUUGACAGUUUUUUUUUUUUAAAGAUCUUGUUCCACUGUCCUGUGACUUGCACUGUUUUUGAUCAGAAAUCUGCCAUCAUCCUUGCCUUUGUGAAACUAUCUACAGAUUGCAAAUCUUUAACAGCAGCGUUUCUUAUUUUUAUGUCCCCGCGUUUCUCUACUUGCCUCUUCAUCUGAAAUACAGUGAUAGUGCCUGUUUAACAUCCUUGUCUGCUGAUUAUAACAUCUGUGUCAGUUUGGGGGUGAUUUUGGUU
This is a long non-coding RNA of Herpailurus yagouaroundi (jaguarundi), 2085 nucleotides long. RefSeq lists it as uncharacterized. The record is from RefSeq and is a predicted model, not a curated record. Lineage: Eukaryota; Metazoa; Chordata; Mammalia; Carnivora; Felidae. The transcript is spliced from 3 exons.